UACGUAGGGGGCAAGCGUUGUCCGGAUUUAUUGGGCGUAAAGAGCGUGUAGGCGGCUGGGUAGGUCCGUUGUGAAAACUCGAGCUCAACCUCGAGACGCCGAUGGAAACCCUCCAGCUAGAGUCCGGAAGAGGAGAGUGGAAUUCCUGGUAUAGCGGUGAAAUGCGCAGAUAUCAGGAAGAACACCCGUGGCUAAGGCGGCUCUCUAGUACGGUACUGACGCUGAGACGCGAAAGCGUGGGGAGCGAACAGG
This 252-nucleotide ribosomal RNA is filed under the name uncultured bacterium. RNAcentral's name for it is "partial 16S ribosomal RNA". It matches the Rfam family "Bacterial small subunit ribosomal RNA", at positions 524 to 776 of the family's 1533-position model. The record is from RNAcentral.